RNAcentral lists this ribosomal RNA (470 nucleotides) under uncultured bacterium. Its description in RNAcentral is "bacterial SSU rRNA". It matches the Rfam family "Bacterial small subunit ribosomal RNA", at positions 27 to 507 of the family's 1533-position model. The record is from RNAcentral.
GGACGAACGCUGGCGGCGCGCCUAACACAUGCAAGUCGAACGAGCGAGAGAGAGCUUGCUUUCUCGAGCGAGUGGCGAACGGGUGAGUAACGCGUGAGGAACCUGCCUCAAAGAGGGGGACAACAGUUGGAAACGACUGCUAAUACCGCAUAAGCCCACGACCCGGCAUCGGGUUGAGGGAAAAGGAGCAAUCCGCUUUGAGAUGGCCUCGCGUCCGAUUAGCUAGUUGGUGAGGUAAUGGCCCACCAAGGCGACGAUCGGUAGCCGGACUGAGAGGUUGAACGGCCACAUUGGGACUGAGACACGGCCCAGACUCCUACGGGAGGCAGCAGUGGGGGAUAUUGCGCAAUGGGGGAAACCCUGACGCAGCAACGCCGCGUGAAGGAUGAAGGUCUUCGGAUUGUAAACUUCUUUUAUUAAGGACGAAGAAAGUGACGGUACUUAAUGAAUAAGCUCCGGCUAACUACGUG